CCCUGAUCAGCAACGCCGCGUGAGUGAUGAAGGUUUUCGGACCGUAAAGCUCUGUCGAGCGGGAAGAAAUGCAUAGUGGCUAAUAUCCAUUAUGCUUGACGGUACCGCUAAAGGAAGCCCCGGCUAACUCCGUGCCAGCAGCCGCGGUAUUA
This 152-nucleotide ribosomal RNA is filed under the name uncultured Syntrophus sp. Its description in RNAcentral is "partial 16S ribosomal RNA". It matches the Rfam family "Bacterial small subunit ribosomal RNA", at positions 381 to 525 of the family's 1533-position model. Lineage: Bacteria; Pseudomonadati; Thermodesulfobacteriota; Syntrophia; Syntrophales; Syntrophaceae. The record is from RNAcentral.